GCUCUCUUAGCUCAGCUGGAUAGAGCAACUGCCUUCUAAGCAGUGGGUCGCAAGUUCGAAUCUUGCAGAGAGCG
RNAcentral lists this transfer RNA (74 nucleotides) under Prochlorococcus sp. SP3034. RNAcentral's name for it is "tRNA-Arg". It matches the Rfam family "tRNA". Rfam says of the family: Transfer RNA (tRNA) molecules are approximately 80 nucleotides in length. Their secondary structure includes four short double-helical elements and three loops (D, anti-codon, and T loops). The record is from RNAcentral. Lineage: Bacteria; Bacillati; Cyanobacteriota; Cyanophyceae; Synechococcales; Prochlorococcaceae.